AGCGAACGCUAGCGGCGGGCCUAACACAUGCAAGUCGAGCGGGGAGCAAUCCCAGCGGCGAACGGGUGAGUAACACGUAGGUAAUGUGCCUUUUGGUGGGGAAUAACCGUGGGAAACCAUGGCUAAUACCGCAUAUCGUGCUUCGGCAUGAAAGCUUCUGAGGCAACUCGGGGGCGCCAGUUGAGCAGCCUGCGUCCCAUUAUUUAGUCCUAGUUGGUAGGGUAAUGGCCUACCAAGGGUACGAUGGGUAGCUGGUCUGAGAGGAUGAUCAGCCACACUGGAACUGAGACACGGUCCAGACUUCUACGGGAGGCAGCAGUGGGGAAUAUUGCGCAAUGGGGGAAACCCGUGACGCAGCCACGCCGCGUGAGUGAUGAAGGCC
Molecule: ribosomal RNA, 382 nt
Filed under: uncultured bacterium
Lineage: Bacteria
Description: bacterial SSU rRNA
Rfam family: Bacterial small subunit ribosomal RNA
Source: RNAcentral